This 396-nucleotide ribosomal RNA is filed under the name uncultured bacterium. RNAcentral describes it as "partial 16S ribosomal RNA". It matches the Rfam family "Bacterial small subunit ribosomal RNA", at positions 338 to 729 of the family's 1533-position model. The record is from RNAcentral.
CCUACGGGUGGCAGCAGUGAGAAAUAUUGGUCAAUGGACGCAAGUCUGAACCAGCCAAGUAGCGUGCAGGAUGACGGCCCUCCGGGUUGUAAACUGCUUUUAGUUGGGAAUAAAAGGGGGCUCGUGAGCCUCGUAUUGUAUGUACCAUCAGAAAAAGGACCGGCUAAUUCCGUGCCAGCAGCCGGCGUAAUACGGAAGGUCAGGGCGUUAUCCGGUUUUAUUGGGUUUAAAGGGCGCGUAGGCGGGCUGUUAAGUCAGUUGUGAACGUCUGCGGCUCAACCGUAGAAUUGCAGUUGAUACUGGAAGCCUUGAGUGCACACAAGGAAGGCGGAAUUCGUGGUGUAGCGGUGAAAUGCUUAGAUAUCAUGAAGAACUCCGAUCGCGAAGGCAGGUGUC